This 1098-nucleotide long non-coding RNA is filed under the name Macaca mulatta (Rhesus monkey). RNAcentral's name for it is "lncRNA (ENSMMUG00000061588.1)". Lineage: Eukaryota; Metazoa; Chordata; Mammalia; Primates; Cercopithecidae. The record is from RNAcentral.
CGAGUGUUCAAAGCACUGGCAGGGACACUGUGCAAUUUGGUCAGCACCUCCUCUGAUCCAGACGCUGCUCCCCAGGGUCCCAGACAUGAGGAUAGGCUCUGAGAGAAGAUAAAAAGCCUCAGUCAGUCAACCUCUGCUGGGGACUUGCCAGUGAUACCAGUGUUCCUGCUGCAAUCUACACACAGGACGAAAUGAACUCUUCUUGCCCCAUGACCACACGCUCAGAGCUGGAACACUGGCUCAGAGCACUGCAGAGGCUUAGGCAUUCAGAAACAGGCCUGGCUCUGCCCCAGCUACAGGACGGUGAUGUCACAGGAUGCCCAAUGCCACUCGAGGUCACCUGAGGGCAGAUGUCCCUCUCUCUAAGAUUCCAGUGUGUUUUUAUUCAUGAUUAACAAGCUGGAAAAGCCAAGAACUUGUUGGAAGGGAAAAGUGUGCAAAAGCCAUCUCUCACCGCUGCUUAUGAAAAAUAACGGAUGACCACUCAAGGGGCCUAUUCCUAACGAUGUCACCUUUCCCUUACCCAGAGACACCACGCCUGGGAGCUGCGCUCCGAGCCAGAGACGGGUGUAGACACGGAGGUGCACACAGUCAGUCUGCAGGGCCCCGGGACUCACCCGUUCCAUCAGCCACCGUGCGUUUGGACCCUCUCUGCCCAGCCUAAGGCAUGUUCCCUGCCUCUCUGGAGCUCAGGUUCAUCAUCCUACUGCCCAUCCACAGCUCAUAAUCUGCUUUUGCAACACCUUGCAAGCUAUUGCACCUUCUUUGUAGAAAGUGAGAAUUUAAGAGGAAAAGUAACCAGGCAUUCCAUAAACUGAGGCCAACUGACACCCCCGUGGGAUCCUUACUAGACAUGGGACAGCAGUGAGCGUCCUGAGAGACUCGCCAUGGGGGCAUCUUUCAGGUAAUUGGAGCAAAUUUGAAUUAGAUUGAAAAAGGAAAACCUCAUUUUCUAUUGCAACAAUGUUUGGGUUCAGUAAACUGGUGAGCAGACAGACCUGGCCUCAGCAUGGUUCCUUCCUCACACCAUAGUGAUAUUUAUCAUUAGACUGUUCUGUAAAAGGGAGGAAAACAGGAAGAAGCUUCUGUGGCCCUCAG